CUUGGUCAUUUAGAGGAAGUAAAAGUCGUAACAAGGUCUCCGUUGGUGAACCAGCGGAGGGAUCAUUACCGAGUUUACAACUCCCAAACCCAAUGUGAACGUUACCAAACUGUUGCCUCGGCGGGGUCACGCCCCGGGUGCGUAAAAGCCCCGGAACCAGGCGCCCGCCGGAGGAACCAACCAAACUCUUUCUGUAGUCCCCUCGCGGACGUAUUUCUUACAGCUCUGAGCAAAAAUUCAAAAUGAAUCAAAACUUUCAACAACGGAUCUCUUGGUUCUGGCAUCGAUGAAGAACGCAGCGAAAUGCGAUAAGUAAUGUGAAUUGCAGAAUUCAGUGAAUCAUCGAAUCUUUGAACGCACAUUGCGCCCGCCAGUAUUCUGGCGGGCAUGCCUGUCCGAGCGUCAUUUCAACCCUCGAACCCCUCCGGGGGGUCGGCGUUGGGGAUCGGGACCCCUCACCGGGUGCCGGCCCUGAAAUACAGUGGCGGUCUCGCCGCAGCCUCUCCUGCGCAGUAGUUUGCACAACUCGCACCGGGAGCGCGGCGCGUCCACGUCCGUAAAACACCCAACUUCUGAAAUGUUGACCUCGGAUCAGGUAGGAAUACCCGCUGAACUUAAGCAUAUCAAUAAGCGGAGGA
RNAcentral lists this ribosomal RNA (638 nucleotides) under Trichoderma hamatum. RNAcentral's name for it is "eukaryotic LSU rRNA". The stretch from base 252 to 405 matches the Rfam family "5.8S ribosomal RNA". The record is from RNAcentral. Lineage: Eukaryota; Fungi; Ascomycota; Sordariomycetes; Hypocreales; Hypocreaceae.